GGUCAGCCGUGAGUUGUGGCCAGGCCAGAGGGGAUGAUGUCAUUCUGGAGAUGUAGUCCUCACAUCCGUCCCGAGCUAGUUUGUGAGUGUGUGUGUCUUUGGACGCCAAAGUUUAGUGUUGCUCCAAGACAGAGAAGAAAGAGCUGCCUGCGAUUGUGCCUCCCAGAGGCUCUGGUGGAAGCGAGACCUGGGGCAGGCGCCCCGCUGUCGCGAGCCUACAGAGGCCAAGCAUCGCAUGGUAUGGAUGCACCACAGUUUGUUGAACCAGUCACCCACUGAAGGACCUGGCGGUGGUUUCCAGCUUUUGGCUAUUAGAAAUUAAAGAUGGAAGAAAUCUGACAUGCAGUGUGAUCUCACCAUCUCCGCUGUGUCUGAGAGGCCCUGCAUAGACUGUUAGGAUGAAUAGAAUCCCCUCUCCAGUGUAACCUAGGAAAACUGUAUCGACAUAAAAACAUAUCAAAUGGAAAGGAGCGACAGGCACCUUUUAUUUUAACAGCGUGGCAUGAGGGAUCAUAGUUCCCCGACCGUGGAUAGAACCUGCACCCCCUGCAGUGGAAGUGCAGAGUCUUAACCACUGGACCUCCAGGGAAGUCCCGGGAGUUAAUCAUUUUGAUCACAUUAAUCCCUUUUUAGGUAAAAGACUAAAUCCAUAUUUAACACAAAGGGAAAAAAUUAACGUUCCUCAAACAUAUGGACACCGAGGGGGGAAAGCGGUGGGGCGGUGGGGGGGUGGGGGGAUGAAUUGGGAGAUUGGGACUGACAUGUAUACACUAAUAUGUAUAAAAUGGAUGACUAAUGAGAACCUGCUGUAUAAAAAAUAAAAUUCUAAAAUUCAAAAAUAAUUAUUAAA
Long non-coding RNA from Physeter macrocephalus (sperm whale), 850 nucleotides. RefSeq lists it as uncharacterized. Lineage: Eukaryota; Metazoa; Chordata; Mammalia; Artiodactyla; Physeteridae. The transcript has 4 exons. The record is from RefSeq and is a predicted model, not a curated record.